RNAcentral lists this transfer RNA (65 nucleotides) under Carbrunneria paramaxi. Its description in RNAcentral is "tRNA-Arg". The record is from RNAcentral. Lineage: Eukaryota; Metazoa; Arthropoda; Insecta; Blattodea; Blattellidae.
AAAUAUGAAGCAAUUUUGCAAUUAGUUUCGACCUAAUUAUUUGGUAAUUUUAUUACCCUUAUUUU